GUCAUGUAUUACUUCUGGGGGUAGAGCACUGUUAUGGCUAGCGGGUCGUCAAGACUUAGUAAACCAUUGCAAACUCCGAAUACCAGAAAGUAUGAGCAUGGCAGACACACUGCGGGUGCUAACGUCCGUAGUGGAAAGGGAAACAACCCAGACCGUCAGCUAAGGUCCCAAAAUUAUAGUUAAGUGGGAAACGAUGUGAAAAGGCCCAGACAGCCAGGAGGUUGGCUUAGAAGCAGCCAUUCCUUUAAAGAGUGCGUAAUAGCUCACUGGUCGAGUCGGUUUGCGCGGAAGAUUUAACGGGGCUAAACUAUAUACCGAAGCUGCGGAUCGCAAUUUAUUGCGAUGGUAGGAGAGCGUUCUGUAAGCCGUUGAAGGUGAACUGUGAGGUUUGCUGGAGGUAUCAGAAGUGCGAAUGCUGACAUGAGUAACGAUAAAGGGGGUGAAAAACCCCCUCGCCAGAAGUCCAAGGUUUCCUACGCAACGUUAAUCGGCGUAGGGUUAGUCGACCCCUAAGGCGAGGCAGAAAUGCGUAGUCGAUGGGAAACGGGUUAAUAUUCCCGUACUUCAUAUAACUGCGAUGGGAAGACGGAGUAGGUUAGCUCAGCAAGGCGAUGGUUGUCCUUGUUCAAGCGUGUAGAAAUGGUUCUUAGGAAAAUCCGGGAACCUCUAUUUCAAGGCGUGAUAACGAUCCCUCUUUUGGGAGAAGUGAGUAAUACCAUGCUUCCAGGAAAAUCCUCUAAGCUUCAGGUUAUAUGAAACCGUACCCCAAACCGACACAGGUGGACGAGAUGAGAAUUCUAAGGCGCUUGAGAGAACUCGGGUGAAGGAACUAGGCAAAAUGACACCGUAACUUCGGGAGAAGGUGUACUCUUGUUAUGUGAAAUCACUUGCUGAUAGAGCAGAAAAGAGUUGAAAAUACUAGGUGGCUGCGACUGUUUAUUAAAAACACAGCACUCUGCAAACACGUAAGUGGACGUAUAGGGUGUGACUCCUGCCCGGUGCUUGAAGGUUAAUUGAUGAGGUUAGCGCUUGCGCGAAGCUUUUGAUCGAAGCCCAAGUAAACGGCGGCCGUAACUAUAACGGUCCUAAGGUAGCGAAAUUCCUUGUCGGGUAAGUUCCGACCUGCACGAAUGGAGUAACGACGGCCACACUGUCUCCACCCGAGACUCAGUGAAAUUGAAAUUGCUGUUAAGAUGCAGUAUACCCGCGGCCAGACGGAAAGACCCCGUGCACCUUUACUACAGCUUUGCAUUGAACUCUGAUCCUACUUGUGUAGGAUAGGUGGGAGGCUUUGAAGCUUUAACGCUAGUUAGAGUGGAGCCACCCUUGAAAUACCACCCUGGUAUGGUUGGGGUUCUAACCUUGGUCCGUUAUCCGGAUCGGGAACAAUGCAUGGUGGGUAGUUUGACUGGGGCGGUCUCCUCCUAAAGAGUAACGGAGGAGCGCAAAGGUAUCCUCAGCACGGUCGGACAUCGUGCAAUGAGCGCAAAGGUAAAAGGAUGCUUGACUGCGAGACUGACACGUCGAGCAGGUAGGAAACUAGGUCUUAGUGAUCCGGUGGUUCUGAGUGGAAGGGCCAUCGCUCAACGGAUAAAAGGUACGCCGGGGAUAACAGGUUAAUAC
This 1623-nucleotide ribosomal RNA is filed under the name marine metagenome. RNAcentral describes it as "bacterial LSU rRNA". It matches the Rfam family "Bacterial large subunit ribosomal RNA", at positions 881 to 2488 of the family's 2925-position model. The record is from RNAcentral.